Molecule: microRNA precursor, 62 nt
Filed under: Panagrellus redivivus
Lineage: Eukaryota; Metazoa; Nematoda; Chromadorea; Rhabditida; Panagrolaimidae
Description: microRNA prd-mir-7955 precursor
Source: miRBase by way of RNAcentral
AGCGCGUAUGCGGUGACAUCUCGUGAAAGUUUAAACUGAAAUGGCACCUUCAUCCGUGCACU